This 355-nucleotide long non-coding RNA is filed under the name Lathyrus oleraceus (garden pea). RNAcentral describes it as "Pisum sativum (pea) long non-coding RNA (PSAT_LNC027009)". Lineage: Eukaryota; Viridiplantae; Streptophyta; Magnoliopsida; Fabales; Fabaceae. The record is from RNAcentral.
UUACAAACCGAGAAGUGAAAAAUAAUGUUAUCACCCUAUUCAAAGGGUCGAAAGAGUCUUGUUUGGAGUUGUCUGUGGUUGAAUAGUUAUGUUUGUAAUAUUUCAGAAGUUGACAGAAAAAAAAAAUUAAAAAAAAAAUAGAAAAAGAAAAAAAUGAAUGGAAAAAAAAUAAAAGGAUGUCAAUACAUACUCCUUCUGAAAAAGAAAAAAAAAAGAAAAAAAGAGAAAUGAGAAGAGAAAGUAGUUGCUAUAGAGUUGUUGAAGUGAAUGAAAUCUUUUGUAAAUUCAACUCCCGCAGUUUUUUUCAAGUCUCUUUUGUAUCUUUGAAUUUUAGCCUAGUACCCCCUUAGGAUUU